This 106-nucleotide ribosomal RNA is filed under the name Facklamia hominis. RNAcentral's name for it is "partial 16S ribosomal RNA". It matches the Rfam family "Bacterial small subunit ribosomal RNA", at positions 1435 to 1533 of the family's 1533-position model. The record is from RNAcentral. Lineage: Bacteria; Bacillati; Bacillota; Bacilli; Lactobacillales; Aerococcaceae.
CUAACUUUAUGAGGGAGCCGUCGAAGGUGGGACAGAUGAUUGGGGUGAAGUCGUAACAAGGUAGCCGUAUCGGAAGGUGCGGCUGGAUCACCUCCUUUCUAAGGAG